Molecule: non-coding RNA, 78 nt
Organism: Citrobacter youngae ATCC 29220
Lineage: Bacteria; Pseudomonadati; Pseudomonadota; Gammaproteobacteria; Enterobacterales; Enterobacteriaceae
Source: Rfam
AGUCAUGGUCUCUAUUCCUAUUCCAAUAGUGAUUGUGAUUAGCGAGGCGCUCGUGUUGCAGCACGGGCGUCUUGCGAA